This 448-nucleotide ribosomal RNA is filed under the name uncultured bacterium. RNAcentral's name for it is "bacterial SSU rRNA". It matches the Rfam family "Bacterial small subunit ribosomal RNA", at positions 330 to 792 of the family's 1533-position model. The record is from RNAcentral.
UCCAGACUCCUACGGGAGGCAGCAGUGGGGGAUAUUGCACAAUGGGGGGAACCCUGAUGCAGCAACGCCGCGUGAAGGAAGAAGGGUUUCGGCUCGUAAACUUCUAUCAACAGGGACGAAAGAAAUGACGGUACCUGAAUAAGAAGCCCCGGCUAACUACGAGCCAGCAGCCGCGGGAAUACGUAGGGGGCAAGCGUUAUCCGGAAUUACUGGGUGUAAAGGGUGAGUAGGCGGCAUGGUAAGCCAGAUGUGAAAGCCUUGGGCUUAACCCGAGGAUUGCAUUUGGAACUAUCAAGCUAGAGUACAGGAGAGGAAAGCGGAAUUCCUAGUGUAGCGGUGAAAUGCGUAGAUAUUAGGAAGAACACCAGUGGCGAAGGCGGCUUUCUGGACUGAAACUGACGUUGAGGCUCGAAAGCGUGGGGAGCAAACAGGAUUAGAUACCCUGGUA